This 549-nucleotide ribosomal RNA is filed under the name uncultured Glomus. Its description in RNAcentral is "SSU rRNA". It matches the Rfam family "Eukaryotic small subunit ribosomal RNA", at positions 548 to 1098 of the family's 1831-position model. Lineage: Eukaryota; Fungi; Glomeromycota; Glomeromycetes; Glomerales; Glomeraceae. The record is from RNAcentral.
UUGGAGGGCAAGUCUGGUGCCAGCAGCCGCGGUAAUUCCAGCUCCAAUAGCGUAUAUUAAAGUUGUUGCAGUUAAAAAGCUCGUAGUUGAAUUUCGGGAUCAAUUUGCUGGUCGUGCCUCUGGUACGUACUGGUAUUAUUGGUUUCUCCCUUCUGACGAACCAUGAUGUCAUUAAUUUGAUGUCGUGGAGAAUCAGGACUGUUACCUUGAAAAAAUUAGAGUGUUUAAAGCAGGCAUUAGCUUGAAUACAUUAGCAUGGGAUAAUGAAAUAGGACGUUUGAUCCUAUUUUGUUGGUUUCUAGGAUUGACGUAAUGAUUAAUAGGGAUAGUUGGGGGCAUUAGUAUUCAAUUGUCAGGGGUGAAAUUCUUGGAUUUAUUGAAGACUAACUACUGCGAAAGCAUUUGCCAAGGAUGUUUUCAUUAAUCAAGAACGAAAGUUAGGGGAUCGAAGACGAUCAGAUACCGUCGUAGUCUUAACCAUAAACUAUGCCGACUAGGGAUCGGAUGAUGUUAAUUUUUUAAUGACUCAUUCGGCGCCUUACGGGAAAC